This is a long non-coding RNA of Pipistrellus kuhlii (Kuhl's pipistrelle), 890 nucleotides long. RefSeq lists it as uncharacterized. NCBI's taxonomy places the organism in Eukaryota, Metazoa, Chordata, Mammalia, Chiroptera, Vespertilionidae. The record is from RefSeq and is a predicted model, not a curated record. The transcript has 4 exons.
CCACGUUGUACUUGACAAUAGCGAUGUAUAUGUUGUUUAAGGGAGUUUCGCUUUCCGUCUUCCGACCUUCGUCCCAGAUGGUUCAGCCGCUCCACCCCUACGCGUGUUCACUUGGUAGAGUCCGAAGAGGUCGACUCCUCCCAGGUGAACUCCGGAGCUGGACGGGGCCGACUGACGAGAACCCGCGAGAACUCCGCAGAAGGGCCGACCGUGAAGUUCCCGGAGUGAUCAGUGUUCAGUGCGGGAGCUGGUGCCCCUGGCGUUCGGUGCUGCCGCGCGAACGGACUGGGACGGUCCCGCCGUUCUCAGAAACGUGGGACAGAAAAACGUGGACCUUUGCACUCCGCCAGGGGACAGUGUGAAGUAAGGUGACCGGGCGUCCCGAUUUUUUAACAAUGUGUCCCGCGUCCCGCGGCGUUUUUAAAAAGUCCGGAUUUUUGGAAAGAAUCCUACCCUGCGUCCGCAGGCGAUGCCUCGCUUGAAAUAGCGGAGUCUGACACUUUCAGAGCUUUAACCGAAGUCAUCCUCCCCCACUCCCACGCUGCCCUCUUCCUUCAAAAAAAAAAAAAAAAAUGCACCAGCAUCGGAGACCUUGUUCUAUUGCAAUUCGUGAAACUACUUGCCAUGCAUGUCAACUUGUCAUCCAGAAACUCUCAGGAGGUAGAGAUCAUUUAACACAGGAGGAGCGGUGGCUUGUGGAGUGGCAAAGUUUGGGACUCACUCACUUAACUGAAGAUACCCCAGCCUAGAAGAAGGACCAGUAGAAAAAGCAAUGCCUCAAAGAUGAUACCUGCAUAAGUAAUGUCUACUCUCCUGGUACAGGGAGUUUUGAAUAAAUCCUGUCAUGAGACAAGCGGAAUGUCCAUAAAGCAGACCUGACAUGAACACAU